UACAGAGGUCUCAAGCGUUAAUCGGAAUUACUGGGCUUAAAGGGUCCGCAGGCGGACCAGCAAGUACCUUGUGAAAUCUCAGGUCUCAACCCUGAGUCUGCUGGGUAGACUGCUGGUCUUGAGUGCAAAAGGGGUCGCUGGAACUCUAGGUGGAGCGGUGAAAUGCGUAGAUAUCUAGAGGAACGCCAAAGGUGAAGACAGGCGACUGGUUUGCAACUGACGCUCAUGGACGAAAGCGUGGGGAGCAAACAGG
RNAcentral lists this ribosomal RNA (253 nucleotides) under uncultured bacterium. Its description in RNAcentral is "partial 16S ribosomal RNA". It matches the Rfam family "Bacterial small subunit ribosomal RNA", at positions 524 to 776 of the family's 1533-position model. The record is from RNAcentral.